CACUGACCAAGCUAUUCUAUCUCAACCGGAGUGUUGCAGCAACAAUAUUAAGGCCAAGUGCCUUAGAAGGUAGCUCAAAGAGAAAAAUUCUCAGUUUUUGAAUAUGAUGUGCAUACUAGAUGAUUAUUUCUCUACAAUAACAAGAUGUGGAUCCAUGAGAUGCCAAAUGAAACUUAAACAGGAUUCACCAACAAUGUCAAACUAAAGUUCCUUUUCUGGUUUUUUAAUAGAAAAUGAAAAAUCCCAUCAAAUUCAUUAAGAGAAUGAAUUCAGGUUAAUCCCCAAUAAAGUAAACAAGAAGUU
Molecule: long non-coding RNA, 303 nt
Filed under: Elaeis guineensis (African oil palm)
Lineage: Eukaryota; Viridiplantae; Streptophyta; Magnoliopsida; Arecales; Arecaceae
Description: long non-coding RNA (EGUI_LNC034949)
Source: RNAcentral